GAUGAAGAACGUAGCGAAAUGCGAUAAGUAAUGUGAAUUGCAGAAUUCAGUGAAUCAUCGAAUCUUUGAACGCACAUUGCGGCCAUAGGUAUUCCUUUGGCCAUGCCUGUUCGAGCGUCAUUUACACCCUCAAGCCUAGCUUGGUGUUGGGCGUCUGUCCCGCCGUUCUCGCGCGCGGACUCGCCUCAAAGUCAUUGGCGGCGGUCGUGCCGGCCCCCUCGCGCAGCACAUUUGCGCUUCUCGGAGGCCCGGCGGAUCCGCGCUCCAGCAAGACCUUUCACGACUUGACCUCGGAUCAGGUAGGGAUACCCGCUGAACUUAAGCAUAUCAAUAAGCGGAGGA
Molecule: unclassified non-coding RNA, 342 nt
Filed under: soil metagenome
Description: partial contains 5.8S ribosomal RNA, internal transcribed spacer 2, and large subunit ribosomal RNA
Rfam family: 5.8S ribosomal RNA (bases 1-120)
Source: RNAcentral